GCGGUGGGCAUCCAUCCCGCAGAGCUUCGCUUCCCCCCAGGAAAUGGCAGGAGCGCAGCUGGGCGCUCGCGAGCGAGAUCAAACUUUGUUCCAGACGCAGUGGUUUGGCCAGGGAUUGCGUGGUUGGCGCUGAAAUGCAGUCUUUCUGGACAGAUUUCAUUCAUGUUGCUGCUUGUUUACCCAGGGCUCGACACAGAUGCAACGCCGCGAUGCAUCAACUUCCUGGGGAUUUUUAUUUUUUUUUGCUUCUUUGCAAACGAGGAGUCCAAUAUUUUUACCGAGUUGCCGUUCGAGGGAGCAGGAUCCCAAAGUUGACGUCUCUCGUUUCAGCUCCCUCGGUUUGGCAAGGAAGGGGAAAUGGCCCGAGCCGGUAGCGCAUCUCGGGGAGCCGUGCCUGGAGUCGCAGCCGUAGUUAGAACCGGGUGCUUCUCUCCUACGUAGCGGCGUGCACAGGCACAUAAGCUUAAAUACGAAAUACCUGUCACGCUGAGAUGCAAAUGUUGGAGAAGAGGAAACCGGGGAAACAAGGAUAACUGGAAGUCUAGAUCAGGGCUACAGAUUAACCCUGUUGAGGUGUUAGAGGCACAGUCGAUGUGUUACAGCUAAUUUGCUAUUGUCCCCUCUCCCAAAAGAGACCCACGGGAGGAUGCCAAGCAGAAAGGGGCGAAUCCUCCCCCCGGUGUAAAAAGAUGUGGCUCCGUUAUGUUCCUCUGGGUUUGGGAGGAUGUCCUCCCCGGAGGCUCUGCUGAACCUCUGCUGCCAGGGGAACGCGUUGCGGGAUCCGUGCGCCUCGUCCUAGCGCUGUUUGCAGGCAUGUCUCCCCCGGGAGGGCCACCGUUGUUUUCCCUCGAGUCCUGGUGCUGUGCCUGUAGGUUUCAGGUGGCACCGCGUUGCCUUCCUGACAUUGCAGCACUGGCAGUGCAGGCUCCUACUGAGCCUUUCAUUUUGUUUUGCGGAUCUGUAGCCCCCUCUGUAGCAGCUUGGUGCAUUUAAAUGAACUUCAUUCUGACCCUCAUUUAUCUCCCCUCCAGGGGCAUGAUUCAGAGUUUUUUGUCUCCAUUUUGCUGUAGCUUUACCUGACACAAAUCUCAGUCCUGGUUGGAGCAAAUGGCAUUUCUCGAAGAUGUUCGAAUCAGGCCCUAGCAAGCUGUCCAUUUUGUUUUGCCUCUCUCCCUGUGCCAUUCUGUUUCCUAUGCAAAUGCCUGUCAUGCUUUGCUUUUUAGCAUCGUGCAAGAAGUAGUUUGACAUCCUGUUACGCAUAUUCAGAGUUACAGGUGCAAACAAGACUUGGGCCUUCUUGUAAUGAAAACCAUUUUUUAUUGCUGUUUACGUUUAUUUAGAUUUAAUCCAAGGGAGCGCUGCACACUCUUAAGUACUUCCAUAGCAGCUAGACCAAACGUUGUAAGCCAUUAAAAACAUCGGGCUGUUUCUUCACCAGGGAGAUACGCAUCUGUUUAUUUAGCCCUCACCAUUUUGAUGUCUGAGUGCUCGACGGUCGGUUGCGAAUGUUUCCUUCCCAGGCACUUAAAAGGUGGGGAAGUCUGAUGGGAGAGAUUAUUUGACCUGCUCAGAACUACUUGGGAAACCUGUGGUAGGUUGCUCGAAGUGCUGGAAGCCGCAUCUGUGUGUAGUGGCAUAACCACAAGUUCAUCCUUCCUCCGUGUUCAGAACUUCAAACACCGUGAUAAGCCUGCUGCACAUGAAGUUGUUUUCUCCUUACGUCUUUCUGGACUACUCUAGGAGAGGAGGCAGGUCUUGGUGCUCUGGGGGUUUGGUAAGUUGGGUACCAAGUGGGCACGCAGUCAUGAAAAUGGGUUGGUUUGGUCCAUCAGACGCAGAUGAGAAUCACUGGUUAGGUCUUUGCUGGAGGUACCAUGGCCCAUAUGUUAUUGGAGGUGAGCAAAAGAGGGCAAAAGGAGACCCUUUAUCAAUACCUUUUUUGCUUGCAAUUUUGAUAGGGGACAGGGGGUGUUGUCUCGUUGGCAGGCAAACAUCAACCCUUGAAAGCUUUUACAGGUUGAAUUCAACACCUUAAAUUCCAUCUGGACAGUGAAACUGGUAACCUGUGAAGAUCACAGGAUGCAAGCAUGGGGGGCACAUGAGUUUGAGCGUGAAGUAAUCAGGGGCUGCUCUGAUCCAGGUUGUGAGCGUGGGUGUUGGGGCGGAUGGUCUGAGGAUCCGAGAGGCACAAACCGUUCUUUCAGGGCUUCCCCGUCAGCUGUGCAGAGCACUUAGUGGUUACAGCUGAGGUUUUUUAGCCUCGUGUCAUACCCAGUCAUCUUGGAAGCUGCUGAGUAAGAUCAGCAUUGCAAGAUAACCCUCUUCUUCCUAUAAACGAUGGUCGUGCGCCUUCAGACGAGGGUGUUCUUUGGGUGGGUAUGUCAGCCUGCACGAGUCUUGCUCUUCUGCAGAUGCCUUGUUGUUUCUUGGGCAGGGCCAAAGGUGCCUGGAUGAAGGCGAUGGCACUCGUUAGCAUGCUGCAGGCAGUGGUUCGCGUCUCCUUUAUAACCCUCUUGGGCACCUUGCCCUGUGGUAGGGGAGUAGGGCUGACAAAAGAGAAGGAGGCAAUAGCGUCAGGAACCAGCUGCUGGAGUAUGUGAGCGGUUGCUGGCAUCUCGGGCAAACUAGAGGGACUCCAAGCAAAUGAGAGCGACCAAGCAGGAUGCCCAGCUUUCAUGUCUUCGAGGAGGGUAUCUUGGAAGUGUAGUAGGAAGUGAAGUCUUAAGUGCUUUGACUUCUCGAUCUUCCCUGAAGAGACAGACUGCUCCUUUCAGUCCUUGCAUUGUGUAGCUGAUCAGUUACGAAGCCUAGUGGUUUCCGAAGAGCUGAAGCCAAAGCAGAGGGUCUCUGGAAGCCUUUCUGCUCAGAGGUGACCUUCACCACUACUGCUGGUUUCUGCCUCGGCUCAGCAGCCCUGGGAGGAUCUGCCAGGGAGGUACAUGAGUGCUGAUUUCUUUCCAAGACCACAGCAGAGCCUUUGCACAGCAGCUGAUUGCAUUCAGAAACUCGGCACCUUUUUAUGGCAGCAGAGGGAACUAGAAGGCUUAACGAGUGCUGUUGGCUCCUCCAGAAAAGGAAGGAGGGAUUUAUGUUGUUCUGUAGGACCUCAAAUAAAAAUAGUAUAAAGCCAAAAAUGUUUUCUGACUUCUGCAAAGUAAGCGUGUAAACUCAGUGGAAAUAGGAGAAACAUUUAUGCAAUGUCUGCUGUGUUGCACAUACCUGAGCAGUUUCCAGAGAGGUGGAAAUAGUUAAAGAAAGUGGCAAAGAAGGACAGAUCCCCAUCGGAGUACCAGUUGCCAUGCUAUGGGAACACGGGACAUUGCCUGUUCUGUUCCUCCAUGCAUGCAUUGAAUCUCUGGAAUCCAUAUAACAUUUCCAGCAAAGACAUGUAUUAAGAAAAAAGAUACAGACCCAGGAAUAACUUUGCUCCUUUUGAGAAAAUACCAUUUGGGUAUCAGGAUCAGUGCCAGCUUCUGAAGCAACAAACAAACAAGUGAAACCCCCAAAAGAUUCUUCUCUUCUAGAGUAUCAUGUACAUUGCUGGAAAGUGCAUAUGUCUGUAUAAGGGUCUGCGUGUUUACAUCCUAUAGAUCUGAAUUUGCCUGAGAUUUAAAUGUCUGCAUUUGUAUUUGCUUGCUUGCUGUCUGCUGUGAGGCAAAGCAGCUGGAAGUGCACAUGCUUAAGGAAAAGAAAAUGCAUCUAACCAGGAGCAUUGUGGAAAAUUAAAAGAACUGAUUGACUGGCCAAAUUCAGUUUUAGUUUUGGUUCCUCAGGAACAUGUAGCACGUAGCUUCCAAAAUCCCCUCAAAAUGCAGGAAGCAAAUGUCAUAGAUCGUGUCUUCAGUAUGGCCAGCUGUUGAUAUGCCUGAGAGGAAUGUGUGCAGUGGUUACUUGCACAAAUCUGGUUAAGUUUGCGUUGCCCACAUUUGAAAACCUGUCUCAGCAUCUGCCUCCACAGUUUGCAAGGUGUUGAUGGUACCCGAGGCACAGUGCUGCCCCAUCACCUUGCAGGCUGUGCUCUGUUAUGGAUUCAACAGGAACAGAGUCAGUCUGGUAGCAAAUACAAUCAUGAGCAAGUGGUUAGGGUGUGCCACGAAUCUGGAGUAAUUCUGUCAUUGCAGUAUUUCAGUGGGGUGUCUGUAAUUGCUUCUUUAGUUAUCAUAAAUGUACGCUGAGUCUGUGAUCUGCAAGAAAAGGAAGCAGGAAAGAACAAAUAAUGCACCUGUGACAACAGCACUUGCUGAAUUCAUGGAGGGAGCUCUGAAGCCUUCUUUCAGUCCCCCCCAAUCUGUGACCCAGCACUGACUGAGCUCAACGGGAGUGUGCUUCAGCAAGGCUGGAAAGCAAAGUUUCCACUUCUUCUCACUCCUCCUCAAGUAGCGGCCAUAUCUCAAGUCUCAUAGUCCCGUGUUUCUUGUUAUGGGAUGCUGGGCCAGCUACAAGUCUCUGCAGCUGCAAUUGCAGUGGGUGACAGGGGACUGGGGGCUGUCCUCCCUGUGAAUGAAGCCACCUUCACUCCUCCCUUGUCCUCAUCAGUAAACUAAGGGCUAGGUGGAUAUUGAGACAGAGUAAGCGGGAAAACCCUUCCACCCAUUUGAAGUGCAAUCACCCUGGAGCAGCAUAGUUAGACACCAAAGCGUACCCUCUGCAUGGCUGUCCUCCCGCUCCUGUCACGGGUGUCUGGAGGGGAGGAUCCGCUUUGCGCAGUGCCCAGGAAGAUUGCAGCAAAUCUGUUCAGCGUUUGAGCGCUUCACCAGCUAUCGAGGCCGUUUGCCUAUUUUUACCCAUGCAUAUGCUGCAGAAAAAUGACAUGGGUGGGUUUGCAAAUGGAGGCAUUUCUGAGAGUGAAUUGUCUUUCCAACACCAGUCUCGUCCUUCAACAUUUAAGUAGUGGAGGCAAAAGCAACCUCAAAGUUACGGUUAGUGGAGAUGGGAUGUAGAAGUGUUCCCCACUGCUUUGCAGUAAGAGGAGCACUGUCGUGACUUUGACUGGCAGCGAUAGCAGCAGCUGUCUCUCCUAACACACCCUUAGCAGUGUCCCUUCUGCUGUCGUUUCUCAAAGGCAUGCUGUAACACGGCCUUCUGCCUGCAUCUGUACUUGAUAUCUUCAUAACAAUGUCCAAAGCAGCACUCCCAGACUCUCCCAGGGAGUGGCUUCUUCAUGAGAUUUCUGUUUUACUUCUAAAUUUGGACUGUGAGGUUUCAUUUAAGCUAGAGAAGCUGCUUGCAGUAGUGGGACUGAUUUGAGGUUUUUACCUCAGACAUUACAUCCAGCUUCCAUGUUCUUUGAUUAUCACCACAAUGCAUCCUUCAAAUAAACUGCUUAAACUAAAACUCCAUGUUUUGUUUGGUCUGACUUUGCUUCUGUCUCACCGAAGGCGAGUUUGCUGGAGUGACAGUGUCACAUACCACACAUGAUGUAGCAUGUUACUAAUUAUUGCGCACGGGCGCAGGCAGCACCAUUCCAUACGUUCUCAUUUCCAUUUGUUACUAAUUAGGAAUUGUCCUGCUGCUGGUGGGCUCUGGUGCUCACUGUGUAUCAUUCAUAGGGUAGAAAUCUGCUGGAGGGUGAUGUUUACUUUGAGUAACUCUAAACAGCCGUCUCCCCCUUGCUAUUUUCCCCAAAGUUUGAUUUCCCUGGCUUUAAAAAAAUGUGAGAUGUGGAGAAUGAGGAGUAGCUGAUCUUGCUGUCCUUCAUAACCCGAUGCUAAGGAAAGUUGUGAACAUGAGGCUGUGCAGUACAAUCCUAUCAAGCCUUAAAUGAUGGUUAGGAAAUAGAAAGCAAGCGUGGGAAUAAAUGGUGAAUUCUUAAAGGUGACCUAUAAAGUGCUCUAAAAUGGAGUCGUCCCUUUAACAAUACGCAAACAGCAACAGGAAAGGGAGCAUUUAGUCGCAUACUUUUUUAUUUUUUUUUUAAUCUCUGAAGUUCUGUGAAAUUGCUGCAGCAGCCUGUCCCCGCUGUGCCGCGGUGCCCCAGAACACUCUGAUGUCUCUGGUACCCCACUGGGCGAUUGAUCUACCCUGUACAGGUUCUGUGCGGUGGUGAUUUUCUAUUAUGAGAUGGCACAGUUUAGCACGGCCUAUGAUCACACUGUUUUAUAUCCUUUCAAGGUAAUAUAUACUUAA
Long non-coding RNA from Cygnus olor (mute swan), 6126 nucleotides. RefSeq lists it as uncharacterized. The record is from RefSeq and is a predicted model, not a curated record. Lineage: Eukaryota; Metazoa; Chordata; Aves; Anseriformes; Anatidae. The transcript has 3 exons.